RNAcentral lists this ribosomal RNA (433 nucleotides) under uncultured bacterium. RNAcentral's name for it is "partial 16S ribosomal RNA". It matches the Rfam family "Bacterial small subunit ribosomal RNA", at positions 29 to 507 of the family's 1533-position model. The record is from RNAcentral.
AACGAACGCUGGCGGCAUGCCUAACACAUGCAAGUCGAACGAGACCUUCGGGUCUAGUUGCGCACGGGUGCGUAACGCGUGGGAACCUGCCCUUAGGUUCGGAAUAACUCCCCGUAAGGGGUGCUAAUACCGGAUAAUGUCUUCGGACCAAAGAUUUAUCGCCUUUGGAUGGGCCCGCGUUGGAUUAGCUAGUUGGUAGGGUAAAAGCCUAUCAAGGCGAGGAUCCAUAGCUGGUCUGAGAGGAAGAUCAGCCACACUGGCACUGAGACACGGCCCAGACUCCUGCAGGAGGGGGCAGUGGCGAAUAUUGGAAUACGGGCGAAAUCCUGAUCCAGCACUGCCGCGUGAGUGAUGAAGGCCUUAAAGUUGUAAAGCUCGUUUACCCGGGAUGAUAAUGACAGUACCGGAAGAAUAAGCUCCGGCUAACUCCGUG